GACGAACGCUGGCGGCGUGCUUAACACAUGCAAGUCGAACGGAAAGGCCCUGCUUUUGUGGGGUGCUCGAGUGGCGAACGGGUGAGUAACACGUGAGUAACCUGCCCUUGACUUUGGGAUAACUUCAGGAAACUGGGGCUAAUACCGGAUAGGAGCUCCUGCUGCAUGGUGGGGGUUGGAAAGUUUCGGCGGUUGGGGAUGGACUCGCGGCUUAUCAGCUUGUUGGUGGGGUAGUGGCUUACCAAGGCUUUGACGGGUAGCCGGCCUGAGAGGGUGACCGGCCACAUUGGGACUGGGAUACGGCCCAGACUCCGACGGGAGGCAGCAGUGGGGAAUAUUGCACAAUGGGCGGAAGCCUGAUGCAGCAACGCCGCGUGCGGGAUGACGGCCUUCGGGUUGUAAACCGCUUUCGCCUGUGACGAAGCGGGAGUGACGGUAAUGGGUAAAGAAGCACCGGCUAACUACGUG
Molecule: ribosomal RNA, 468 nt
Filed under: uncultured bacterium
Lineage: Bacteria
Description: partial 16S ribosomal RNA
Rfam family: Bacterial small subunit ribosomal RNA
Source: RNAcentral